RNAcentral lists this ribosomal RNA (1351 nucleotides) under uncultured bacterium. RNAcentral describes it as "bacterial SSU rRNA". It matches the Rfam family "Bacterial small subunit ribosomal RNA". The record is from RNAcentral.
AGAGUUUGAUCCUGGCUCAGGAUGAACGCUGGCGGCGUGCCUAACACAUGCAAGUCGAACGAUGAAACCGCCCUCGGGCGGACAUGAAGUGGCGAACGGGUGAGUAACACGUGACCGACCUGCCCCCCGCCCAGGGACAGCCCCCCGAAAGGGGGAUUAAUACCUGGUACUCCGGAAGCGGCGCAUGCCGCCCCCGGGAAAGCUCUGGCGGCGGGGGAUGGGGUCGCGGCCCAUCAGGUAGACGGCGGGGCAGAGGCCCACCGUGCCGACGACGGGUAGCCGGGUUGAGAGACCGACCGGCCACAUUGGGACUGAGAUACGGCCCAGACUCCUACGGGAGGCAGCAGUGGGGAAUUUUGCGCAAUGGGGGCAACCCUGACGCAGCAACGCCGCGUGCGGGACGAAGGCGUCCGCGUCGUAAACCGCUUUCAGCGGGGAACACUUAAACGAGGGUACCCGCAGAAGAAGCCCCGGCUAAAUACGUGCCAGCAGCCGCGGUAAUACGUAUGGGGCGAGCGUUAUCCGGAUUCAUUGGGCGUAAAGCGCGCGUAGGCGGAGCGCUAAGCGGGACCUCUAACCCGAGGGCUCAACCCCCGGCCGGGUCCCGAACUGGCGCUCUCGAGUGCGGUAGGGGAGAGCGGAAUUCCCGGUGUAGCGGUGGAAUGCGCAGAUAUCGGGAAGAACACCGACGGCGAAGGCAGCUCUCUGGGCCGAAACUGACGCUGAGGCGCGAAAGCUGGGGGAGCGAACAGGAUUAGAUACCCUGGUAGUCCCAGCCGUAAACGAUGGGCGCUAGGUGUGGGGGAUGAGAUCCCCCGUGCCGCAGCCAACGCAUUAAGCGCCCCGCCUGGGGAGUACGGCCGCAAGGCUAAAACUCAAAGGAAUUGACGGGGGCCCGCACAAGCAGCGGAGCAUGUGGCUUAAUUCGAAGCAACGCGAAGAACCUUACCAGGGCUUGACAUGCAGGUGAAGCGGCGGAGACGCCGUGGCCGAGAGGAGCCUGCACAGGUGGUGCAUGGCUGUCGUCAGCUCGUGUCGUGAGAUGUUGGGUUAAGUCCCGCAACGAGCGCAACCCUUGUGAUUAGUUGCUACGCAAGAGCACUCUAAUCAGACUGCCGUUGACAAAACGGAGGAAGGUGGGGACGACGUCAAAUCAUCAUGCCCUUUAUGACCUGGGCUACACACGUACUACAAUGGUCGUUAACAGAGGGAAGCAAUACCGCGAGGUGGAGCAAAACCCUAAAAACGGUCUCAGUUCAGAUUGUAGGCUGCAACUCGCCUACAUGAAGUUGGAGUUGCUAGUAAUCGCGGAUCAGCAUGCCGCGGUGAAUACGAAACCGGGCCUUGCACA